RNAcentral lists this ribosomal RNA (450 nucleotides) under uncultured Glomeromycotina. RNAcentral's name for it is "SSU rRNA". It matches the Rfam family "Eukaryotic small subunit ribosomal RNA", at positions 569 to 1025 of the family's 1831-position model. The record is from RNAcentral. Lineage: Eukaryota; Fungi; Glomeromycota.
AGCAGCCGCGGUAAUUCCAGCUCCAAUAGCGUAUAUUAAAGUUGCUGCAGUUAAAAAGCUCGUAGUUGAAUUUCGGGACCAUCAUGUCGGUCGUGCCUCGGUACGUACUGGCAUUGUUGGUUUCUCCCUUCUGACGAACCAUGAUGUCAUUUAUUUGGUGUCGUGGGAAAUCAGGACUGUUACUUUGAAAAAUUAGAGUGUUUAAAGUAGGCCCACGCUUGAAUACAUUAGCAUGGAAUAAUGAAAUAGGACGUUUGAUUCUAUUUUGUUGGUUUCUAGGAUCGACGUAAUGAUUAAUAGGGAUAGUUGGGGGCAUUAGUAUUCAAUUGUCAGAGGUGAAAUUCUUGGAUUUAUUGAAGACUAACUACUGCGAAAGCAUUUGCCAAGGAUGUUUUCACUAAUCAAGAACGAAAGUUAGGGGAUCGAAGACGAUCAGAUACCGUCGUAGUC